RNAcentral lists this ribosomal RNA (253 nucleotides) under uncultured bacterium. Its description in RNAcentral is "partial 16S ribosomal RNA". It matches the Rfam family "Bacterial small subunit ribosomal RNA", at positions 524 to 776 of the family's 1533-position model. RNAcentral also lists the same sequence under 2 other names. The record is from RNAcentral.
UACGUACUGUGCGAACGUUAUUCGGAAUCACUGGGCUUAAAGGGUGCGUAGGCGGCCGAUUAAGUAGGGUGUGAAAUGCCUCGGCUCAACCGAGGAAUGGCGCUCUAAACUGGUCGGCUUGAGUGAGAUAGGGGUGUGCGGAACUUCCAGUGGAGCGGUGAAAUGUGUUGAUAUUGGAAGGAACGCCGGUAGCGAAAGCGGCACACUGGGUCUCAACUGACGCUGAGGCACGAAAGCCAGGGUAGCGAACGGG